GCCUGGGUAGCUCAGCGGUUGAGCAUCUGCCUUUGGCUCAGGUUGUGAACCCGGGGUCCUGGGAUCGAGUCCCACAUCAGGCU
Molecule: non-coding RNA, 83 nt
Organism: Canis lupus familiaris (dog)
Lineage: Eukaryota; Metazoa; Chordata; Mammalia; Carnivora; Canidae
Source: Rfam